Molecule: ribosomal RNA, 299 nt
Filed under: uncultured bacterium
Lineage: Bacteria
Description: partial 16S ribosomal RNA
Rfam family: Bacterial small subunit ribosomal RNA
Source: RNAcentral
UCUUGACAUCCUUUGACAACUCUAGAGAUAGAGCCUUCCCCUUCGGGGGACAAAGUGACAGGUGGUGCAUGGUUGUCGUCAGCUCGUGUCGUGAGAUGUUGGGUUAAGUCCCGCAACGAGCGCAACCCUUAAGCUUAGUUGCCAUCAUUAAGUUGGGCACUCUAAGUUGACUGCCGGUGACAAACCGGAGGAAGGUGGGGAUGACGUCAAAUCAUCAUGCCCCUUAUGAUUUGGGCUACACACGUGCUACAAUGGACAAUACAAAGGGCAGCGAAACCGCGAGGUCAAGCAAAUCCCAU